Molecule: long non-coding RNA, 3917 nt
Organism: Clupea harengus (Atlantic herring)
Lineage: Eukaryota; Metazoa; Chordata; Actinopteri; Clupeiformes; Clupeidae
Source: Ensembl
AACCAUCAGAGGGCGUGCCUUCAGUGCGGGGUAUGUCCAAACUUGGUACAGAGGUGUAGCGAGAGGCAUACCUGUUGAGCAGGUGAACUUCAAGCUCAGUCCGUGUCAAGUUGUGCUUGCGUCAACCACAUAGCAAGCAUAGCAAGAUAAACAGAUAUCGAGGAAGGAAGGUGAAAGAGAGAAGACGAGAAAAAGAAUGUCUGGGACAGAUCAGAACAGCGCUCCUGACCCACAGCUGCUGUUUGUGGGGCGACCCUCCCGUCUGCUAGAGGUGUAUGUGAAACGCAGCCUGAGCCUCAAUGACAGCCCACUCAAUGACGGGAGACCCGCCAGGGAGCACCGCAAGUGGAUCAGCCUGGCGGAGAGGAACAAGAGGGAUCGCAGGCACUCCAGUGACACGUCUCUGCACCUGCCAGUGGACAUGGCAUACAGUUACAACCCUGUAAGCGAAAAAAACAGCGAUCCAAAGAAGAGCACGCUGAGGAAGAAGUGGAUGAGCUUCAGGGACAAGAGCAAGAGGCCCAGCAAACUCUCCAAACCUUCUUUGGUGGUCAAGCCAGCUCCUUCUGAUGACAGACCAACAGAGUACCAUGACACCAUGCCCUCAGACCUAGAGUCCUCCACGGAGAAGCCGAAGAAGAAAAAACGUGAGAGCAAGAAGGGCAAGCCAGCUCCUUCUGAUGACAGACCAACAGAGUACCAUGACACCAUGCCCUCAGACCUAGAGUCCUCCACGGAGAAGCCGAAGAAGAAAAAACGUGAGAGCAAGAAGGGCAAGCCAGCUCCUUCUGAUGACAGACCAGCAGAGGACCACGACACCAUGGCCUCAGGCCUAGAGUCCUCCACGGAGAAGCAGAAGAAGAAAAAACAGAGGAGAAAGAAGGGCAAGAAGUCCUCCAUCUGGAGGAGCAUAGUUGGCUUCUUCUCACGGGGUGACAGCGACACGGACGAACGUGACCUCAGCCCUGUGAGAACGGUGUGCCCCCCCCAGCCCCCAGAGGCCACGUGCCUCUCCAUCUCCAAACCCUUCUCCGAGGGAGAGGAAGUCACGCGCCGCAGGAAGUCCUCCAGGAGACGGCGUUCCCUAAUAAGGAGACUCUCUCAGAAGAAGGACAGGCGCCUGUCCAUAGUGGAAGCCAUCGAGAGAGUGGAGCCCACAGACUCAUACUACGAGAACGUGUCUGAUGAGCUGAAGAGGAUUGUGACUGAGGUGAUGGAUAGUCCUUCUGAUGAGCAGGUGGUGGUUCCUCCAGACGUACCACCCACUGACACACUGGACAGUCAAAGCUUGUCAACAGAUGAGUUGACAGAGAGGCUUAUAGCUCUAAUCAAACAGGAAGGGGAUUUCAUGGAUGCAAAGAUGAAGGAGAGUCCCAGCCUCAGUAACUUCUUCCAGGGGCUCACAUACGGCUCCUUCCAGCAGCUGGCUGACCAGUAUGUGCUGUCCGAGAUACCCGCAGAGCCCGCCCAGGACCCGGUGGUGGCGCCGGAGCUAGUCAGGCUGGCCUUCACCCUGGACUUCACUGCCCGGCUGGCCGGCCUGUCCCGCCAGAGCCCGAGCCACAUCAUGGGCCACGGGAAAUGCUACCUGCAGGAGCGCUUCACCUACGAGGCCCAGCCCGAGGUCGAGCCCACGAGUCCGCUGAUGAUGAGAACGGCCUGGAAGGGGUCGAUGGAAAUUGGGAUAAACUAUGGGAAUUCCCUCCUGGUAGAGAGCGGAGAACCUGAGGAACAUGGUCUGGGGAAGGCUGAAGAACCUAAACCUUCACUAAGAACAAGGAUGCCUGAUGAAGCUCAGCAAAUCCAGCACUUUAACAGCUAUGAGUUAUGACCUAAUGUUCGACAACCAUCAAAUAUCAAUUUGGUGAAAAUACUGUUUGAAAAUCCAAGAUUUUAGAUGCAGUAUGCAUUACUCCCUAAUUUAUAUACUUUUAAAAUGUGAAUAAUUGUGUAUAUGUAUGCUGGCAUACAUAUCCUGUAAGUCAAUAAAUAUAUAUUUUUUCUACUUCAUUAAAUCUCAUGUUCAAGUUGGUAUGUUACCCAUAAACAAAAGUUGAUGAACUAAGGUAUAACUAACUAACUAAAUACUGUAACUAAUGAAUGAAUGAAUGAAUGAAUGAAGUUACUGUUAGGUGAAAAUUCACAUUCAAGUUAUCUCAGGACUCCAGAGCUGAAGAUCAGUAUAUUUAUUACAAACAACAAUUGCAAUCGGGAUGAAAGUGAAGCAAUUUCCCUAACAUCGCACAGGGUUUAUAUACUUAGAAUUUAUCCAAUUUAUCUAACUCUAACGCCAUAAUUGUUUCUAACGUCAGCAAGAAUGGCCACGCUCGACUAAAAGUACUUUUGUGUCAUACCAACUGCGCUUCCUGAGAUGCAAGGAUGUCAGUUUUACGCAGGGUUGAACAAGCACAGUUCGACCCUUCUUAUCACCUCUGAGCUCACCCAAACAUAUGCAGACUACAUGGCGUCGGCACUUAAUAAUCAGUUACACACAAACACACAAACAGAAACACAGAAAAACCAUGUUCCUGCUUACAUAAGCACAUGAUUCAUACAAGGUAAUUAGCAAGGCACUUGAUUAAAAUAUUCUUAAGUCAUUAACAUUAAGAAAUUAUCUCUAUCAGUUACUCUCAGAGGAAGCUGGCUUGGUAGUGUUCGCAUGUGGGGUGGGAGCACACCCAUGGUAGAACGCAAAUCACCGUAAUGAUUCUCAUAAGCCUUUUGUGUGGUUGUGUGAAAGGUUACACUCCAACCUGGCAAACACAGCACCUGAAAUCCAACACCUAUGUCCACAAUAAGACCUAAAACAAUCACUGGCUCUGUUUUUGCAAUCACAGAUUUCUCUACAAGUUCCCCCACAUCGAACCCACAAUGGCUAAAAUUCAAAUGUUCACCCCAUUCGUGUCACUCAUGUGCUAGAUUGUCAGGUUAUAUCACAGCAUACCACUGUAUUUCCAGUUAAGAGAAAACCUCCACAGCACAUCCCAUAUUUCUAUGACAUGAAACACAUCUGAACUGGCAGGUUGUCAUAGACGCCUGUCCCUCGGGCAACCUCUUGUGCAAUGUUUGGCUCCCCUGUUAGACUGAAACAGACAAUAACAAUCAGGCGGUGAUGAGCAACGACAGAAUGUACAAAUGAAAGAAUAAUAUGAAAACAAUUUUUUCCCAGUGAUUAUGACUAAGUGUGUGAUGGUAAACUGAAACAAACAAAAACAAUCAGACAGUGAUGAGCAACGACAGAAUGUACAAAUAAAAGAAUAAUAUCAAAUCUGUUUUUUUCCGCUUGUGAUGGUAAUUGUGACAUUGUAUUUCUCCAUUUUGUGAAAAGCACCUCUUAACACUGCAAAUCAAUGUCUCAAAUGUGUUCCUCAUUCUGCUUGGUGUUUCUUUAAACGAAAGGGAAACAAUGUACACACAUAAUAUUCAAAUUUAGGCAGAGGGGUGUUUAUUGUGUCUUAGUUUUGAAUAUGCCAGAAGUGCUUCUUCAGCGCUGUUAUGUUCAUGUAAUCAUUCACUAUUCGGAGACUGCUCGCUGGUGAGAGAAAUCACUGGAGGACCGUGAAGAGGAGCUAUCCCACACAUCCUCCACAUCACUGUCCUCGUCUCUCCCGUCCUCCUCUUUGACAGCCAGGAAGGAGAUGUAGGGGGAGCAGAGGCCCUCGUCCUCCACCUCCUCCUCUGAGCUGAGCUCUGGAGGAGCAGGCAGCAGAGGAGGUGCAGGGUAGAUGUCCAGGUCUGGUUGCUCCUUCACCUCCAGCUGCAGGUUGAAGAGGAAGGAGACAGCCCUGGAGGGCUCAGGGGGGGAGGGGGCGUACGAGGCAGCGUCCACGGAGUCAGAGGUGGACGAACUGGAGGUGGUGGAGAGGUGGAACCGCAGCACAGAACGGCGAUGCCUCAGGACGGUCCCCCUCGCUGGG